Molecule: long non-coding RNA, 2154 nt
Filed under: Nicotiana benthamiana
Lineage: Eukaryota; Viridiplantae; Streptophyta; Magnoliopsida; Solanales; Solanaceae
Description: long non-coding RNA (NBEN_LNC014055)
Source: RNAcentral
ACUACUUACAUGAAACUAAUAUUGCCAGAAGGAAUUGGAUGAAGGCUGCAACGAACGGAAGAAGUAUAGAUGCAUCACUGAAGUGCUCAACGAAGUUCUAUAUCACGAUUAAUUGAUCAACAAGAAUGUGAAUCCUGAAUCAUUGUUGCAAUACAAAAGCAGCUCAAGAUCUUCUGCAAUAAAAUUCAAAGAACUAUGGGGAGUAUAAAAGAGAAAGGGUAGAAGAAAUGGACUCUGCUCUCCUCUUGCUAUGGCUAAAGCAUAUCACAAGCUCAAAGUCCUAAAUUCAUAUUCAUCUCAACUAUUAAAGCAAUUAGAAAACAUCCUGCAUAAUCUCCGAGAUUAGGAAUCAUUAUUAGGUGAUAAAGAACUACGAGGGAACCAAGUAAACUUGGUGAUCAACUUCUGACUAGACGUGAUAUAUAAUUUUGAAAAAAGCAUGGGAUGGAUUUUCUGAAACUAUGGACAGAGUUUGGAGUAGGACAUUAAUCCAACUCAUAGAAACUCAUGAUAGAAUGAUGUUGGCCGUGAAUCAUGAAAUAAAGGUCAAGGACCAUGAUUCCUGCAUUUCACUCAAAAAUAUCGUUGAGAUAGUACCAUAAACAUCUAAAAUACCCAGAAAACCUUAUAGAAGUAAUGGAUGAUCAGGACAAAAUUUCUUGCUUAUAGCCAAUAUAGUUCAAGACCGGGACAUACUUCUUGAAUAUCUAAUUCUUAACAGAUUAAGAUAUCUUGUCUCACUAACCAAAGAGCUCCAAAUAAAACCACCCAAGUUAUCACAUACAACCAAAGAACAAUCCAAUUGAAUCACAUCAUGCUAAUAAACAUUAAUCCAAGCGACAGGACUUAAAUUCAACUGCAGUGGAGAGGCACAUCGCACGCAAAGAAAGCUCGUUCUACCAUUCAAAUUGAGAAAAUAGCUUCUUUUUUUGAGAUAAGUGAGAAAUAACAUCCUGAAAAUAAAGACAUUGUUGGCAACAAGUACUAAAGAUGAAAAUGAAAACAAAUGUACUCCACGUGGUCAAGAACAAUUGUUUGCAUCUAACCAAAUUGUAUGAGUGAACCCAGUGGGAAAUUUACUAUACAAUUAGUAUGAGUUAAAACCAAUGUGACAUUUUUUAUAACAAAUUCAAUAAACAGACUUAGACAAAAUCCUGUGUGUAUUACUUAAGCUUCAAGCUUUGUGCAACCAGUACAUAGUGUUUCUAUCUAUCAAAGUUAUUUAGGCAGUACAAAAUCGAUAAUUGUGAUACUAUUAUCCUGAUACCUAUAUGAAUAUCAGAUCCAAAAAUGGUGCUAAGCAAACCGUUUUAUUUGGGGGGGGGGGGGGGGGGGGGGGGUGUUNNNNNNNNNNNNNNNNNNNNNNNNNNNNNNNNNNNNNNNNNNNNNNNNNNNNNNNNNNNNNNNNGGGGGGGGGGGAGGGGCAGUUUCAUACUUUUGAACUUGAAAGACUCUUCCGGUAAUUUGUUCCAAUAAGAAUUUACUACCGGGUUAUCUAUCUUAGACUCUGCACAUGACUUAGUCCGUGUAGGUAGAGCAGAAAUUAGAAGUUCAAAGGCACCAAUGAAAAGUUGACCACUUAAAUACAAAAAUCCAACGGCAAUAACAACUACCCAGUAUAGUCCCACAAGUUGGGGUCCGGGGAGGGUAAUAUGUAGACGGGCCUUACCCCUACCCGAAAGGGCAGAGAGGUUGUUUCCAAUCGACCCUCGGCUUAGUGAAGGCAAGAAAAAAACAAAAAUAAAAACAAAAACAAAAGAGCACUAGUAACUCCAGCAGAAAUAGCAUAAAUAAUUAUUUAAACAUAAGAACCAUAAAUAAAAUUGCAUACAAUAAUAUCAGACAGUAACUAUCAUAAAGGAGACGCAAUCCAAUACACAAAUCAUCUAUGAAUAGCCCUGCCAAGCCUCACCCAACCCCGGGUGAGGAGUAUGAAAAACUCUAGGGGCCCCAAUCCUACAACUCUGAUACUAGACCUCCAGACUUUCCUAUCAAGGGUCAUGUCCUCGGAAACCCGCAUUCUAGCCAUGUCAUGCCUGAUCAUCUCUCCCCAAUACCUCUUAGGCCUCCCUCUGCCUCGUCGUACUCCGACCAUCGCCAGCCGCUCACAACUCCUCACCGGGGCAUCAGAACUUCUCCUCCGCACAUGCNNNN